This 1159-nucleotide ribosomal RNA is filed under the name uncultured Pseudoalteromonas sp. Its description in RNAcentral is "bacterial SSU rRNA". It matches the Rfam family "Bacterial small subunit ribosomal RNA", at positions 56 to 1202 of the family's 1533-position model. Lineage: Bacteria; Pseudomonadati; Pseudomonadota; Gammaproteobacteria; Alteromonadales; Pseudoalteromonadaceae. The record is from RNAcentral.
UGCAAGUCGAGCGGUAACAGAAAGUAGCUUGCUACUUUGCUGACGAGCGGCGGACGGGUGAGUAAUGCUUGGGAACAUGCCUUGAGGUGGGGGACAACAGUUGGAAACGACUGCUAAUACCGCAUAAUGUCUACGGACCAAAGGGGGCUUCGGCUCUCGCCUUUAGAUUGGCCCAAGUGGGAUUAGCUAGUUGGUGAGGUAAUGGCUCACCAAGGCAACGAUCCCUAGCUGGUUUGAGAGGAUGAUCAGCCACACUGGAACUGAGACACGGUCCAGACUCCUACGGGAGGCAGCAGUGGGGAAUAUUGCACAAUGGGCGAAAGCCUGAUGCAGCCAUGCCGCGUGUGUGAAGAAGGCCUUCGGGUUGUAAAGCACUUUCAGUCAGGAGGAAAGGGUGUGAGUUAAUACCUCACAUCUGUGACGUUACUGACAGAAGAAGCACCGGCUAACUCCGUGCCAGCAGCCGCGGUAAUACGGAGGGUGCGAGCGUUAAUCGGAAUUACUGGGCGUAAAGCGUACGCAGGCGGUUUGUUAAGCGAGAUGUGAAAGCCCCGGGCUCAACCUGGGAACUGCAUUUCGAACUGGCAAACUAGAGUGUGAUAGAGGGUGGUAGAAUUUCAGGUGUAGCGGUGAAAUGCGUAGAGAUCUGAAGGAAUACCGAUGGCGAAGGCAGCCACCUGGGUCAACACUGACGCUCAUGUACGAAAGCGUGGGGAGCAAACGGGAUUAGAUACCCCGGUAGUCCACGCCGUAAACGAUGUCUACUAGAAGCUCGGAACCUCGGUUCUGUUUUUCAAAGCUAACGCAUUAAGUAGACCGCCUGGGGGAGUACGGCGCAGGUUAAAACUCAAAUGAAUUGACGGGGGCCCGCACAAGCGGUGGAAGCAUGUGGUUUAAUUCGAUGCAACGCGAAGAAUCUUUACCUACACUUUGACAUACAGAGAAACCUUUCUAGAAGAUAGAUUGGUGCCUUCGGGGAAUUCUGAAACAGGGUGCUGCAUUGCCUGCCGUCAGCUCCUGUUGUGAGAUGGUUGGGUUAAGUCCCGCCACGAGCGGAUACCCCUAUCCUUAGUGGCUAGAAGAAAUGCUUAAAAACCUAAAGGAAACUGCCCGUGAUAAACCGAAGAAGGUGGGAAACAACUUCAGUCUCACUGACCUC